AGCCUGAUCCAGCCAUGCCGCGUGUGUGAAGAAGGCCUUUUGGUUGUAAAGCACUUUAAGCGAGGAGGAGGCUACUUGGAUUAAUACUCUAGGAUAGUGGACGUUACUCGCAAAAUAAGCACCGGCUAACUCUGUGCCAGCCGCCGCGGU
Molecule: ribosomal RNA, 150 nt
Filed under: uncultured Acinetobacter sp.
Lineage: Bacteria; Pseudomonadati; Pseudomonadota; Gammaproteobacteria; Moraxellales; Moraxellaceae
Description: partial 16S ribosomal RNA
Rfam family: Bacterial small subunit ribosomal RNA
Source: RNAcentral